CUCCCUCAAGGCCCCAUUCUAAAUCUGUCUUCCUGUCUGUAAAGUGGAUGGGUAAGAAGAUCAACCUUAUAGAGCUUUUUAAUAUACCCAGAAUGUGCAUUAAAAAUGGGCAUGAGAGGAAGACUCCAAUGCUUUGGGUCAAGAUGGACUCAGAGAUGAGAGAAGGGGUGAAGGAUAGCUUCCUGAUCAAAUUGCAACACCUGGAUCCAGCCAGACCUGAAGUUGACCUGCUCCUGGACUUCUCAGUUCUAGAACCAGAAGUCGGAAAUGAAGGUGUUAGCAGUGCCGUGCUCCCUCUGAAGGCUCCAGGGAUGGCUCCAGGGCUUCCUCUCAGCUUCCAGCAAUCCCUGGCAUUCCUCGGGCCGUAGACACAGCACUCUGGCCUCUGCCCGUGUCAUCGCUUGGCCAUCCUCCCUCUCUGUGUCCAUCUGUGUCUUUUCUCUUCUUAUAAGGACACCAGUCAUGUUGGAUUAAGGGCCCACAUACUCCAGCAUGACCUCAUCUCCCUUCAUCCGAUCUGCAAUGAUCCUACAUCCAAACAAGGUCACAUCUCUGCAUCAGACAUGGAUUUAGGGGUACACGACCCCGCCCAGUAGAGUAACCGAAGGCUGUAUGUGCGGCAGGUUGGAAGUCCUCUGUGCAAUAUUGAGAAGGUUGCUCAGCAUCUCUGAGCCCCAGCCCUGACCCCUAAGACAGGGUAACAGAGCCACAGUUUAGGGUGCUCGCAAGGAUCUUCCUGCACGGGCACAUGUAUGGCAAAUGCAAAGCAGUUAGGAUUCCCCAUGCAGUGCAGUUUGCAGAGAACCCCGGGGUCCCCUAUGCUCUCGUUGCCCCUCCUUCCAGCCGUAGCUCCUUAGCCUGUGACUGCUGCUGGGGAGAAGAGGUCCCAAGUGAGAAAUUAUUGGGUGAGGGGGUCGGGAGGUCCCUGGAAGGACAGGGGCCUUGCCUGUCAGUGACGCCCAUGCUUAGAGACCGGAUGCCAAUCCCCUGAGUGGACACAGGCAGUGGAGCUGGAGGUGCUCAGAGGAUGGCACAGAAGGGAUGAGUGGGCAUUCUGAACCCAGGCAUCUGGGGGCAGGCAUGUGGCGGACAGCAGUCGGGCAUCAUGCAGACCCGGCUUGGACUCCAGCCCCACCGUCGCUCACAGCCUGACUGAGCAAGAGGCGGACGGGGCAUGGGAAACCACAGGCUGGUGGAGGACGUGGGGUCUCCCCUACGAGAAAGUCCAAAGAGAGUUAGAGACUGGAGAAGUACUUCAUGAGAUGUGCUGCUGUGGGUGAUGAACUGGCAUCCAGGGAUGGCCUUAAAAAGACGCACAUAAAGCAGGAGCCAGCAGACCACCAUCGACAUUGGUAAAUGAAGUCUUAAGUGGAGCCCAGCCAUGCCCACUCACUUGGGAGUCGUCUCUGCUGCCUUGGAACUAUGAUAGCAGGUUUGUGACAGACAUCCCUGAAAAUGUCCUAACUGUCCCUUUACAGAAAUAGUCAGCUGACCCCUGAGCUAAA
Molecule: non-coding RNA, 1505 nt
Organism: Odocoileus virginianus texanus
Lineage: Eukaryota; Metazoa; Chordata; Mammalia; Artiodactyla; Cervidae
Source: RefSeq, a predicted model, not a curated record